UACGUAGGGGGCAAGCGUUGUCCGGAAUCAUUGGGCGUAAAGAGCUCGUAGGCGGUUCAGUAAGUCGGGUGUGAAAGCUCCGAGCUCAACUCGGAGAGGCCACUCGAUACUGCUGUGACUAGAAUCCAGUAGGGGAGUGUGGAAUUCCUGGUGUAGCGGUGAAAUGCGCAGAUAUCAGGAGGAACACCGGCGGCGAAGGCGGCACUCUGGGCUGGUAUUGACGCUGAGGAGCGAAAGUGUGGGUAGCAAACAGG
This 254-nucleotide ribosomal RNA is filed under the name bacterium. RNAcentral's name for it is "partial 16S ribosomal RNA". It matches the Rfam family "Bacterial small subunit ribosomal RNA", at positions 524 to 776 of the family's 1533-position model. The record is from RNAcentral. RNAcentral also lists the same sequence under 2 other names.